This 486-nucleotide ribosomal RNA is filed under the name uncultured bacterium. RNAcentral's name for it is "bacterial SSU rRNA". It matches the Rfam family "Bacterial small subunit ribosomal RNA", at positions 8 to 518 of the family's 1533-position model. The record is from RNAcentral.
AGAGUUGAUCAUGGCUCAGGAUUAACGCUGGCGGCGUGCCUAAUACAUGCAAGUCGAAUGGUAGCAAUACCAUGGCGAACGGGUGAGUAACACGUAGGUAACCUGUCUUUAAGACGAGGAUAACCGAUGGAAACGUCGGAUAAUACUCGAUAGGUGAUUUAAGGGCAUCCUUGAAUCAUUAAAGAUUUAUCACUUAGAGAGGGGCCUGCGGCGCAUUAGCUAGAUGGCGGUGUAAUAGACCACCAUGGCGAUGAUGCGUAGCCGGACUGAGAGGUUGAACGGCCACAAUGGAACUGAGAACGGUCCAUACUCCUACGGGAGGCAGCAGUAGGGAAUUUUCGGCAAUGGGCGAAAGCCUGAACCCGAGCAACGCCGCGUGAACGAAGAAGUAUUUCGGUAUGUAAAGUUCUUUUAUUAGGGAAGAAAAAUAUCCAAAUUGACGGUACCUAAUGAAUAAGCUCCGGCUAACUACGUGCCAGCAGCUGC